Molecule: unclassified non-coding RNA, 349 nt
Filed under: soil metagenome
Description: partial contains 5.8S ribosomal RNA, internal transcribed spacer 2, and large subunit ribosomal RNA
Rfam family: 5.8S ribosomal RNA (bases 1-120)
Source: RNAcentral
GAUGAAGAACGUAGCGAAAUGCGAUAACUAGUGUGAAUUGCAGAAUUCCGUGAAUCAUCGAGUCUUUGAACGCACAUUGCGCCCCCUGGUAUUCCGGGGGGCAUGCCUGUCCGAGCGUCAUUGCUGCCCAUCAAGCACGGCUUGUGUGUUGGGUCGUCGUCCCCCCCUCCGGGGGGGACGGGCCCUAAAGGCAGCGGCGGCACCGCGUCCGAUCCUCGAGCGUAUGGGGCUUUGUCACCCGCUCUGUAGGCCCGGCCGGCGCUUGCCGAACGCAAAACAACCAUUCUUUCCAGGUUGACCUCGGAUCAGGUAGGGAUACCCGCUGAACUUAAGCAUAUCAAUAAGCGGA